This is a long non-coding RNA of Eurytemora carolleeae, 1501 nucleotides long. RefSeq lists it as uncharacterized. The transcript has 4 exons. Lineage: Eukaryota; Metazoa; Arthropoda; Copepoda; Calanoida; Temoridae. The record is from RefSeq and is a predicted model, not a curated record.
AAACUUGACAAACAACUGAUUUGUAUUGUUUAGAGACCCCUGCUCCUCCCCGUCAAUGUUUGCUGGGUAAAGCUAAGAUCAAGUCCGUGAAGUUGACAGGAAUCCUUACUUUCGGAUUCGUCCUCUGUUGGACUCCGUAUCAGAUUGCUAACAUCUGGUAUUUUAUUGACCAAGAAUCCUUCUUCAAACUGGAUUUCCGAAUUCAAAAGUUUCUCUGGGUGUUCUGCUGCGUCAACAACUGCGUCAAUCCCUUCUUGUACAACAUGUUUUCGUACAAUUCCAGCGUCCACUGCAGCAGGAAGCAAAGCAGAAGCGGACAUGAAGCACAAGACUCGGAAACCAGGCCCGGAAUAGAGCUACAGGAAACUCCAUUUCUACAAAAAGAUCGGUUUGUCGGGAGCAAGGUUUCAAGAAGUCUUCUCAUCAACUCAAGAAGGAACAGAGCUUCAAUAAAUUCAAGGAUUUCAUUCUCCAGCACUAAGAUGUAAUAAGUUGACUGGAAAAACGACUUAAGUCGGCAUAAGAAAUUGGCUCCCUCUCUCUAGGUUUCCAACCUUAUGGUGAGCUUUAACACAGACAAGGUUUAUUUGGAGGGAUUUUUAAUCGUAAAAUAUCGUAAAAAUAAUUCGGCUGGAUUUUCUGUCCGUCGGUGUCCAUUUGAUAAUUGUCAGUGUAGUAUAUUACACGGCCCGCUUAUAGAAAUGCUUCUAUCUAUCGAUCGUUACUAUAUGUAAUUUUGUGGGUUUGCUGUACAGCUGUUAUAUCUUGUUUUCAGAAUUCCAAAAUGUGGUCUGCCGUUUUUGUACCUUAAGAAUUGACCGAGAUAUUGAGAACUUUGUUAAAAAUUAAAAUUUAGAAUUUCAUAACCAACAAAUUUUAUGUUACAAAGAAGGAGGUUAAAUUUUACCAAGUUUUAAAGACUUACAAUGUUUUUCUAUGCUCCUCUGACAUCUAUUAACUUUACGAAAACCACAGAAAAGUUGGAAGUACAGGUUUCAAUGUCUAACGUACUGCAUAACACCCCAGCGAAAAAUUACAUCAUACCUUGACUAUGGUAUAUCCAUUCUAUCAUAUAUCCAUGGUUUAUUACGUUUGAAUUAUUUAGUGUAAUACCAUUGGGCUAUAUCCAAGAUCAAACUAAAAUUUCUGAAGGAACUGAGUGUGAGCAAGAAACUGAAAUUAUAUAAUCCCAUUGGGCUCCAAAGAUAUAGGAAUUAAAAAACAUGACAAAACUCAGUUCCUUUGCUCCUAAAUAAAUGAUAAAGCUAAUUCUUAAAAGGAAUUUCAGGAAAAUUAAAUGUGAACCUCAUUCAGUACCCUCACACAGAUAUCUGUGAAAUUAAAGUGAAAACUGAAAGUUUUCAGAUAUAUAUAAUUAUUAUCUCAGACUACUGCACGCUUCGGUAAAAAUACCAGUUUUGUACUGAAAAAUUAAAAGCUUUAAAGGAACUAAGUUCUUCCCACAAACUUAAAUUUUCUAGUUCCUAGACCUUUGCAACCU